This is a non-coding RNA of Lophiotrema nucula, 148 nucleotides long. NCBI's taxonomy places the organism in Eukaryota, Fungi, Ascomycota, Dothideomycetes, Pleosporales, Lophiotremataceae. The record is from the annotation of a GenBank genome assembly.
GGACGCGUAGUCUAGUGGCAAGACGCUCACACCAAAAGCAAGCCAGCUCUAAACCCGGCGAUGGUCUGCCUUUAAGUGGACGAAUGCUGAGUAGUGAGCAGGUAGCUGGGCCCUGUGAGAAGCCUGAGUUCGAUUCUCAGCGCAUCCA